Molecule: long non-coding RNA, 558 nt
Filed under: Amphibalanus amphitrite
Lineage: Eukaryota; Metazoa; Arthropoda; Thecostraca; Balanomorpha; Balanidae
Description: uncharacterized LOC122386908
Source: RNAcentral
AGUGGCACCUGUAUUUCUUUUACAAUUUUAUUCAUUCAUUAAGCAAGUUGCAGAUGCACUUUUUAUUUGAUUCUAUCUUUCUCUUUUUAUUUUUUCAGAGCACCAUGUCUUCAGACUUGCAGCCUCUGUACUCUUUGCUGGAAGAGGUGCAAAGACGGAAGAAUGCCAUUCUUUGUAGCCGUCCAAUCCGCACAGAUCCUGCUGACUUCCACAGAUAUCUGGACCAUCUAACUGCACAUGGUUCUGAGCUGGGAGAUCCUGCACGACUUGUUGACCAAUGCAUCAGACAGGCUGAAACUGGUGUGCAGGAACUGGUGCAGAGCCUGUUUGAGGAAGAACAGCAGCACUGGUACCGAGCGGAGCGGCUGCUGAGUCACCGGGCCGAACGGCCUCUGUCUCCGGCCGCCUCUGCUCCCACUUCAGCCCCUGCCCGCGCCCCUGUCCGCGCCCCGGCCACCACGCCCGCCGUCCCGGCCGCUUCCCGUGCUGGCCGGGCGCGUCCACCGCAACUGGCCACCGAGCGUCGCGCCCAGCAGCGCAGAGAGCGGCAGCGGCCGC